RNAcentral lists this transfer RNA (71 nucleotides) under Cordylochernes scorpioides. Its description in RNAcentral is "tRNA-Phe". The record is from RNAcentral. Lineage: Eukaryota; Metazoa; Arthropoda; Arachnida; Pseudoscorpiones; Chernetidae.
UGCCGAAACCCGGAAUCUAAAGGGACCUUUAGAUCUUCAGUCUAACGCUCUUCCAACGGAGCUAUUUCGGC